This 450-nucleotide ribosomal RNA is filed under the name uncultured bacterium. Its description in RNAcentral is "partial 16S ribosomal RNA". It matches the Rfam family "Bacterial small subunit ribosomal RNA", at positions 354 to 796 of the family's 1533-position model. The record is from RNAcentral.
GUGGGGAAUAUUGGACAAUGGGCGAAAGCCUGAUCCAGCCAUGCCGCGUGUGUGAAGAAGGUCUUCGGAUUGUAAAGCACUUUAAGUUGGGAGGAAGGGCAGUAAGUUAAUACCUUGCUGUUUUGACGUUACCGACAGAAUAAGCACCGGCUAACUUCGUGCCAGCAGCCGCGGUAAUACGAAGGGUGCAAGCGUUAAUCGGAAUUACUGGGCGUAAAGCGCGCGUAGGUGGUUCAGUAAGUUGGAAGUGAAAUCCCCGGGCUCAACCUGGGAACUGCUUUCAAAACUGCUGAGCUAGAGUACGGUAGAGGGUGGUGGAAUUUCCUGUGUAGCGGUGAAAUGUGUAGAUAUAGGAAGGAACACCAGUGGCGAAGGCGACCACCUGGACUGAUACUGACACUGAGGUGCGAAAGCGUGGGGAGCAAACAGGAUUAGAAACCCUAGUAGUCC